CCCUUAGAUGUUCUGGGCCGCACGCGUGCUACACUGAGUGGAUCAGCGGGUCAGGUUGCGCGAAAGUGUUUCCUAAUCUUGAAAUCCGCUCGUGAUGGGGAUUGACGGUUGCAAUUUUCCGUCAUGAACGAGGAAUACCUUGUAAGCGCGGGUCAUCAUCCCGCGCUGAAUACGUCCCUGCCCUUUGUACACACCGCCCGUCGCUCCUACCGAUUGAGUGAUCCGGUGAGGCUUUGGGAUCUGAGCGGAAAGAGCGUUUCGCUGUUUCUGCUCGGAAAACUCAGUCGAACCUUAUCAUUUAGAGGAAGGAGAAGUCGUAACA
Molecule: ribosomal RNA, 322 nt
Filed under: uncultured eukaryote
Lineage: Eukaryota
Description: partial 18S ribosomal RNA
Rfam family: Eukaryotic small subunit ribosomal RNA
Source: RNAcentral